UGAGGAACAUGACCUUCGGCGGGGGGAUAGCCGGCCCAACGGCCGGGUAAUACCGCGUACGACCACAUGGGGACAUCCCUGAGUGGUGAAAGCAGCAAUGCGCCGAUGGAGUGCCUCGCGGCCUAUCAGCUAGUUGGUGGGGUAAUGGCUCACCAAGGCGACGACGGGUAGCUGGUCUGAGAGGAUGGCCAGCCACAUUGGGACUGAGAUACGGCCCAGACUCUACGGGAG
RNAcentral lists this ribosomal RNA (231 nucleotides) under uncultured bacterium. RNAcentral describes it as "partial 16S ribosomal RNA". It matches the Rfam family "Bacterial small subunit ribosomal RNA", at positions 118 to 347 of the family's 1533-position model. The record is from RNAcentral.